This 254-nucleotide ribosomal RNA is filed under the name uncultured bacterium. Its description in RNAcentral is "partial 16S ribosomal RNA". It matches the Rfam family "Bacterial small subunit ribosomal RNA", at positions 524 to 776 of the family's 1533-position model. The record is from RNAcentral.
UACGUAGGGGGCAAGCGUUGUCCGGAAUCAUUGGGCGUAAAGCGCGUGUAGGCGGCUCGGUAAGUCCGCUCUGAAAGUCCAGGGCUCAACCCUGGGAUGCGGGUGGAUACUGCCGAGCUCGAGUCCGGAAGAGGCGAGUGGAAUUCCUGGUGUAGCGGUGAAAUGCGCAGAUAUCAGGAAGAACACCCGUGGCGAAGGCGGCUCCUCUGGAACGCAACUGACGCUGAGACGCGAAAGCGUGGGGAGCAAACAGG